UUUGAUCAUGGCUCAGGACGAAACGCUGGCGGCGUGCCUAAUACAUGCAAGUCGAGCGAAGUUUUUUCUGGUGCUUGCACUAGAAAAACUUAGCGGCGAACGGGUGAGUAACACGUAAAGAACCUGCCUCAUAGACUGGGACAACUAUUGGAAACGAUAGCUAAUACCGGAUAACAUCAUUAACUGCAUGGUUGAUGUUUGAAAGUUGGUUUUGCUAACACUAUGAGAUGGCUUUGCGGUGCAUUAGCUAGUUGGUGGGGUAAAGGCCUACCAAGGCGACGAUGCAUAGCCGACCUGAGAGGGUGAUCGGCCACACUGGGACUGAGACACGGCCCAGACUCCUACGGGAGGCAGCAGUAGGGAAUCUUCCGCAAUGGGCGAAAGCCUGACGGAGCAACGCCGCGUGAGUGAAGAAGGAUUUCGGUUCGUAAAGCUCUGUUGUUAGGGAAGAAUGAUUAUGUAGUAACUAUACAUAGUAGAGACGGUACCUAACCAGAAAGCCACGGCUAACUACGUGCCAGCAGCCGCGGUAAUACGUAGGUGGCAAGCGUUGUCCGGAAUUAUUGGGCGUAAAGCGCGCGCAGGUGGUUUAAUAAGUCUGAUGUGAAAGCCCACGGCUCAACCGUGGAGGGUCAUUGGAAACUGUUAAACUUGAGUGCAGGAGAGAAAAGUGGAAUUCCUAGUGUAGCGGUGAAAUGCGUAGAGAUUAGGAGGAACACCAGUGGCGAAGGCGGCUUUUUGGCCUGUAAACUGACACUGAGGCGCGAAAGCGUGGGGAGCAAAACAGGAUUAGAUACCCUGGUAGUCCACGCCGUAAACGAUGAGUGCUAAGUGUUGGUCUCAUAAGAGAUCAGUGCUGCAGCUAACGCAUUAAGCAUUCCGCCUGGGGAGUACGACCGCAAGGUUGAAACUCAAAAGGAAAUUGACGGGGACCCGCACAAGCGGUGGAGCAUGUGGUUUAAUUCGAAGCAACGCGAAGAACCUUACCAAGUCUUGACAUACUGUGAGGACACAAGAGAUUGUGUUGUUCUGACCUUUGGUUAGACACAGAUACAGGUGGUGCAUGGUUGUCGUCAGCUCGUGUCGUGAGAUGUUGGGUUAAGUCCCGCAACGAGCGCAACCCUUAUAUCUAGUUGCCAGCAGUAAGAUGGGGACUCUAGAUAGACUGCCAGUGAUAAACUGGAGGAAGGUGGGGAUGAACGUCAAAUCAUCAUGCCCCUUAUGAACUUGGGCUACACACGUGCUACGAAUGGAUAGGAACAAAGAGAAGGGAAGCUCGCGAGAAGUAAGCGAAACCUCGACGAAAACUAUUCUCGGUUGGAAUUGUAGUUCUGCGAACUCGAACUACAAUAAGGCGGAAUUCGCUGUUAUUCGGGAAUUCAGAAAUGUCGCGGUAAAUACGUUCCCGGGUCUGUACACACCGCCCG
RNAcentral lists this ribosomal RNA (1427 nucleotides) under uncultured bacterium. RNAcentral describes it as "16S ribosomal RNA". It matches the Rfam family "Bacterial small subunit ribosomal RNA". The record is from RNAcentral.